UGUAAGCGUAUACCAAAGUUGUUGCAGUUAAAACGCUCGUAGUCGGAAUUUGGCAGUUCCGGAUGUGUGCACGUCGUGUGCGCACUUCGCGGGGAUUGCUUUUGUGGUCUUGCAUAGGAUGAGGCACUUUUAUUAGUGAACGUCCUCACGCAACCACUUUUUACUGUGAGAAAAUCAGAGUGCUCAAAGCAGGCAUUUGCCGUGAAUGUAUUAGCAUGGAAUAAUAGAAUAGGACUUGGUUCUAUUUUGUUGGUUUGUUGGGACUGAGUAAUGAUUAAGAGGGACAGUUGGGGGCAUUUGUAUUUCGGUGCUAGAGGUGAAAUUCUUAGAUUACCGAAAGACAAACUGCUGCGAAAGCGUCUGCCAAGGAUGUUUUCAUUGA
RNAcentral lists this ribosomal RNA (382 nucleotides) under uncultured eukaryote. Its description in RNAcentral is "partial 18S ribosomal RNA". It matches the Rfam family "Eukaryotic small subunit ribosomal RNA", at positions 592 to 976 of the family's 1831-position model. The record is from RNAcentral.